AAGUUUUCUAUAACGGUCAUCACAACAAGUGAAUUACUUGCAGAAGAGAACAGCAGUGUUAUCGUUUAUUUAUAAGCAAAACAGUGGAAACCUAUAAUACUCUCACUCUUUCAUCACAAGGGUUCCAAUGGAUGCUGCCCACUGUCAACUAAACCAUAACCUUAACUUUCCCCUCAUCCAAGACCAAACCCUACGCUGCCAUGAAAGCAAUCAAAAUCCUCAAACAGAUUCUGCAAAUACCACAUCUUUCCUCAAUACUUGUCUCAAUGGACUCAAUGCUUUGUCAGACGAGGAUUGAAAAGCGAGUGGAAGGGGCGUUCGUUUCGAUAGAUUUGGAGUGAUAUGCUGAGACGGAUUUGUGGGGGAGAGAGUAACAACCAUCUUCGAUCAGAUGAAGAGAAAAGAAGGGAAAUAGUGUAUAUUUAUUAUGCAAUUACAUGUUUGACCCUAAUAAAGCAUUUGAUUUUGAAAUAGAGAUUUUGUGUGCUUGUCCACUAAUGAAGGCACGUAUUGGUUGGUGGUGGAGUUUAAUGUGUUGCUACAAUACUAUGAAAAAAUUUAAUUUAUUUUA
Long non-coding RNA from Vigna unguiculata (cowpea), 571 nucleotides. The record is from RefSeq and is a predicted model, not a curated record. NCBI's taxonomy places the organism in Eukaryota, Viridiplantae, Streptophyta, Magnoliopsida, Fabales, Fabaceae.